RNAcentral lists this ribosomal RNA (203 nucleotides) under uncultured soil bacterium. RNAcentral's name for it is "partial 16S ribosomal RNA". It matches the Rfam family "Bacterial small subunit ribosomal RNA", at positions 26 to 257 of the family's 1533-position model. The record is from RNAcentral.
AGAGCGAACGCUGGCGGCAGGCCUAACACAUGCAAGUCGAACGGACCCUUCGGGGUUAGUGGCGGACGGGUGAGUAACACGUGGGAACGUGCCUUUAGGUUCGGAAUAGCUCCUGGAAACGGGUGGUAAUGCCGAAUGUGCCCUUCGGGGGAAAGAUUUAUCGCCUUUAGAGCGGCCCGCGUCUGAUUAGCUUGUUGGUGAGG